UCCUACGGGAGGCAGCAGUGGGGAAUAUUGGACAAUGGGGGCAACUCUGAUGCAGCGACGCCGCGUGAGCGAUGAAGGCCUUCGGGUCGUAAAGCUCUGUCCUAUGGGACGAUAAUGGCGGUACCAUAGGAGGAAGCCCCGGCUAACUUCGUGCCAGCAGCCGCGGUAA
This 169-nucleotide ribosomal RNA is filed under the name uncultured Clostridium sp. Its description in RNAcentral is "partial 16S ribosomal RNA". It matches the Rfam family "Bacterial small subunit ribosomal RNA", at positions 337 to 523 of the family's 1533-position model. Lineage: Bacteria; Bacillati; Bacillota; Clostridia; Eubacteriales; Clostridiaceae. The record is from RNAcentral.